RNAcentral lists this long non-coding RNA (362 nucleotides) under Manihot esculenta (cassava). RNAcentral describes it as "long non-coding RNA (MESC_LNC008182)". The record is from RNAcentral. Lineage: Eukaryota; Viridiplantae; Streptophyta; Magnoliopsida; Malpighiales; Euphorbiaceae.
GGUAUGCAAAUAUAAGAUUGUGUGGAACCAUGAUCUAUUAAAGCAUGAACAGACCGGCCAAAGAUAGAAAAUAUACCCAUGAUGACAUCUGGGGAAUCCUGAUCCUCUCUAGCUUUGAUGGCAUAGGCUCUGGCAGGUGCUCUAGAUUUCGGUCUAUCCACAGUCUCUGACACUCUUUGACUAGAGGUACCUGUCGGCUCACUUCUACCUUUGCUUCUGGUCUUUUGAGUUACUGGUGCAGUUCUUUCUGUUGCUGGUGCUGAGGCUGUCUGCUUCUUAGGACAAUCCCUCAUAAUGUGAUCCAUAGAGCCACAUAUGAAACAAGCUCCUGUCAGCAAUCUGCAAGUACCAGUAUGUCUCCU